This is a long non-coding RNA of Lates calcarifer (barramundi perch), 2052 nucleotides long. RefSeq lists it as uncharacterized. NCBI's taxonomy places the organism in Eukaryota, Metazoa, Chordata, Actinopteri, Centropomidae. The transcript has 3 exons. The record is from RefSeq and is a predicted model, not a curated record.
CACGCACUAUUGGAUGAUUAGAAAAAAUAGUUGCACAUGCACAUACACAGAGUUGUGCAUUUGUCAUUGCUUAUGUCUACAUCAUUGUAGGGAUGGUAAUGCUAGUCUGUACAUCCACAAUGUAGACAUAUGGUCCCGAGAGAAUAAAUCCAGCUGACUUUUACUCCAGUGCCACCAUACAGUUGACAUUUAUGGCUUUUGGUGACAUUUGUAGAUUGAUUGUAUCGCCUGCUAUCAAACUUUAUUUAGCCAUUCAUGUUCCCCCCAGGAAGAAGUAUAAUAACUUUGGGGAUCCUCUGACUUUUCAUCUGGAGCCAUUAUCAGGCACGCUUCGUUUCCAAGCACUCAUCACCUGCUUCUGACAACUGCAUUAGGACGAGGGGCCAUUUACUACCAUGUGGACUUUGCACCCAUAAGUUGUCUGGAGUAAGGAUCGCAUCUGUGGUUGAGAAUCCAUCAGUGAAGGCCCACCAACCUUAUAUCCUACACCCAAGGAGCUGCCCAGGAGUGAUCAUUUCAAGAAGCAGCAGGAUUGCUGUUUUACUUGGAGAAGAAGGGCUGUUCAUGACCACAAUUGUUAAAUUAAACUGUACAAUAAAUGUUCAUCUCUUCUCCACAGUUGGAUGUCAGGUGCAUAUUUCAAUUCAAAUCCUUAGGAAAAGAAUAACAAAUUUUAAAACACAAUAAUGUGUCUAUAGGACCACACACUUUGUGUUACAUUUGACACAAUCACUGUGUUUGAACAUCGAACACAAAUCUUGUGUUAAAACCCUCAACACAACAGUUGUUGAAAGUAACACAAAAUGUGUGGUCCUUAUAUAUGAUAUUAACACAUAUGUUUUAAGAGUGCAGGGCACUGGUGUAUAUGUAACAGACUGUAAAGCCCAUUGAUGCACAUUUGUGAUUGUUGAGUUCAGGCUUUGUAAAUAAAACUUGACAAUAAGGAUGGGGAAAAGGAUGGGUUCAUAUUUUCUCAAGACUGGCGUGAAAGCCAUACUUCUUGUUUUGUGCAAAAAUGCAUUCUGAAGGGCAAAACAAAGCUAAUAUGAGAAUACUUUUACAUAAUAUUUUACCUUUCUGCAUGAUUUUAUGCAUUGUACUGUACUACUGCCAACUUAAUUGGCUGAUUGGAUAACUGCAUGAAUAAGCAGCUGUAAUAACAACAUUUAAGGGAUCUCUACAAAAAUGUGUUAAAACAUAAUAGUUGAAAUAUCAUUAUAUUCAAAUAUCAGUAACAGUAUAAAAAUUUCAGUAUUGCUUGUGCUUUAUAGCAAAUGACAUGUUCUAUAUCAGUGCCCAAACAACAGCAGUCACAGAUUUGCUGUGUGUUUUUCUUACCCACAGUCCUGGUCAAGAUUAUUGGCACCACUGAAUUUCGAGUACACAAUUCAGAAAAGGUGUUCAGUGUGCAUAAGACACUUUAUUUUAUUUUACAACAUGAAAGCAGUUUUUGUUGUUGUCCAACAACUUUGGACAUUUUACAUUGGACAUUAUAGAAAAUUGGUUCAUUUGCAUUUAUCACUCAAGCGACUCUAAAUUAUCUGCUUAAAUUUCACAGUUGCCAAUGAUUUUGACCAGGACUGUGUUUUCAAUUUGCCCACAAUGUGGUAGAGUAGGUGUCACUACACUCUCUCAUACACACUCAUGCAUUAACAGCAGAAUAUAGCUAUCAUAAUAUGUACCAUCUCUUGACAUAGGACAGGUCACUCUGAAGACUGCAAAGUCCAUCUCACUAAACACUAAACACCACCUAGUGGUUAAAUCUCACUGCACAGAACGAGGACUGUUGACUCAGUAGCAUUAUCUCUUUAUGACCAGUGUGGACAGCAAAAAAUAAAUAACAGGAAAAAUAAAUAAUUUGACUAAGGUAAUGAAUACAGCAAACAUUAACUUUUUCGACAUACAUAUGGAGUGCAAGUCUUGUAUUAAUAUAGACUUGUAAAAUCUGAUUCUAUUCCUUAAUUUCCCAAUAGCCCAAUAGUAAUGUCACCCAGAAAUAGAAAUAUCCUCAAGGGUUAGUUUUAUUUAUUUUUUUUAUUGCUAACAAGCAUA